RNAcentral lists this ribosomal RNA (638 nucleotides) under uncultured Lachnospiraceae bacterium. Its description in RNAcentral is "bacterial SSU rRNA". It matches the Rfam family "Bacterial small subunit ribosomal RNA", at positions 71 to 721 of the family's 1533-position model. The record is from RNAcentral. Lineage: Bacteria; Bacillati; Bacillota; Clostridia; Lachnospirales; Lachnospiraceae.
GAUUCUUCGGAUGAAGACUUUUGUGACUGAGCGGCGGACGGGUGAGUAACGCGUGGGUAACCUGCCUCAUACAGGGGGAUAACAGUUAGAAAUGACUGCUAAUACCGCAUAAGACCACGGUACCGCAUGGUACAGUGGUAAAAACUCCGGUGGUAUGAGAUGGACCCGCGUCUGAUUAGGUAGUUGGUGGGGUAACGGCCUACCAAGCCGACGAUCAGUAGCCGACCUGAGAGGGUGACCGGCCACAUUGGGACUGAGACACGGCCCAGACUCCUACGGGAGGCAGCAGUGGGGAAUAUUGCACAAUGGAGGAAACUCUGAUGCAGCGACGCCGCGUGAAGGAUGAAGUAUUUCGGUAUGUAAACUUCUAUCAGCAGGGAAGAAAAUGACGGUACCUGACUAAGAAGCCCCGGCUAACUACGUGCCAGCAGCCGCGGUAAUACGUAGGGGGCAAGCGUUAUCCGGAUUUACUGGGUGUAAAGGGAGCGUAGACGGCACGGCAAGCCAGAUGUGAAAGCCCGGGGCUCAACCCCGGGACUGCAUUUGGAACUGCUGAGCUAGAGUGUCGGAGAGGCAAGUGGAAUUCCUAGUGUAGCGGUGAAAUGCGUAGAUAUUAGGAGGAACACCAGUGGCGAAGG